UGGGGAAUAUUGCACAAUGGGGGAAACCCUGAUGCAGCGACGCCGCGUGAACGAAGAAGGUAUUCGUAUCGUAAAGUUCUGUCCUAUGGGAAGAUAAUGACAGUACCAUAGAAGAAAGCUCCGGCUAAAUACGUGCCAGCAGCCGCGGUAAUACGUAUGGAGCGAGCGUUGUCCGGAAUUAUUGGGCGUAAAGGGUACGCAGGCGGUUUAAUAAGUCGAAUGUUAAAGAUCGGGGCUCAACCCCGCAAAGCAUUGGAAACUGAUAAACUUGAGUAGUGGAGAGGAAAGUGGAAUUCCUAGUGUAGUAGUGAAAUACGUAGAUAUUAGGAGGAAUACCAGUAGCGAAGGCGACUUUCUGGACACAAACUGACGCUGAGGUACGAAAGCGUGGGGAGCAAACAGG
This 403-nucleotide ribosomal RNA is filed under the name bacterium. RNAcentral's name for it is "partial 16S ribosomal RNA". It matches the Rfam family "Bacterial small subunit ribosomal RNA", at positions 355 to 776 of the family's 1533-position model. The record is from RNAcentral.